This 465-nucleotide ribosomal RNA is filed under the name Vreelandella stevensii. RNAcentral's name for it is "partial 16S ribosomal RNA". It matches the Rfam family "Bacterial small subunit ribosomal RNA", at positions 338 to 795 of the family's 1533-position model. Lineage: Bacteria; Pseudomonadati; Pseudomonadota; Gammaproteobacteria; Oceanospirillales; Halomonadaceae. The record is from RNAcentral.
CCUACGGGUGGCAGCAGUGGGGAAUAUUGGACAAUGGGCGAAAGCCUGAUCCAGCCAUUCCGCGUGUGUGAAGAAGGCCUUCGGGUUGUAAAGCACUUUCAGUGGGGAAGAAAGCCUUGGGGCUAAUACCCUCGAGGAAGGACAUCACCCACAGAAGAAGCACCGGCUAACUCCGUGCCAGCAGCCGCGGUAAUACGGAGGGUGCGAGCGUUAAUCGGAAUUACUGGGCGUAAAGCGCGCGUAGGCGGUCUGAUAAGCCGGUUGUGAAAGCCCCGGGCUCAACCUGGGAACGGCAUCCGGAACUGUCAGGCUAGAGUGCAGGAGAGGAAGGUAGAAUUCCCGGUGUAGCGGUGAAAUGCGUAGAGAUCGGGAGGAAUACCAGUGGCGAAGGCGGCCUUCUGGACUGACACUGACGCUGAGGUGCGAAAGCGUGGGUAGCAAACAGGAUUAGAUACCCCGGUAGUC